Molecule: non-coding RNA, 105 nt
Organism: Acanthosepion pharaonis
Lineage: Eukaryota; Metazoa; Mollusca; Cephalopoda; Sepiida; Sepiidae
Source: the annotation of a GenBank genome assembly
UAUGGCCACAUCGCGUUGAAACAUCGGUUCCCGUAAUGUCAUCGAAGUUAAGCAACGUCGAGCCUUGUCAGUACCUAGAUGGGUGACCGUAUGGGAAUAGCAGGU